Molecule: ribosomal RNA, 420 nt
Filed under: uncultured Leuconostoc sp.
Lineage: Bacteria; Bacillati; Bacillota; Bacilli; Lactobacillales; Lactobacillaceae
Description: bacterial SSU rRNA
Rfam family: Bacterial small subunit ribosomal RNA
Source: RNAcentral
CGCCCUUAGAGUUUGAUCAUGGCUCAGGAUGAACGCUGGCGGCGUGCCUAAUACAUGCAAGUCGAACGCAAAGGUGCUUGCACCUUUGAGUGGCGAACGGGUGAGUAACACGUGGACAACCUGCCUCAAGGCUGGGGAUAACAUUUGGAAACAGAUGCUAAUACCGAAUAAAACUCAGUCGCAUGACCAAAGUUAAAAGGCGUUUGCGUCACCUAGAGAUGGAUCCGCGGUGCAUUAGUUAGUUGGUGGGGUAAAGGCCUACCAAGACAGUGAUGCAUAGCCGAGUUGAGAGACUGAUCGGCCACAUUGGGACUGAGACACGGCCCAAACUCCUACGGGAGGCUGCAGUAGGGAAUCUUCCACAAUGGGCGAAAGCCUGAUGGAGCAACGCCGCGUGUGUGAUGAAGGCUUUCGGGUCGU